GAUAAACGCUGGCGGCGUGCCUAAUACAUGCAAGUCGUGCGGUAAGGCCCCUUCGGGGGUACACGAGCGGCGGACGGCAGAGUAACGCGUAGGAACGUACCCCAAAGUGAGGGAUAACUGCUCGAAAGAGUAGCUAAUACCGCAUACGAUCUAUGGAUGAAAGCGGGGGAUCGCAAGACCUCGCGCGAUUGGAGCGGCCGAUAUCAGAUUAGGUAGUUGGUGGGGUAAAGGCUCACCAAGCCGACGAUCUGUAGCUGGUCUGAGAGGACGACCAGCCACACUGGGACUGAGACACGGCCCAGACUCCUACGGGAGGCAGCAGUGGGGAAUUUUGGACAAUGGGCGCAAGCCUGAUCCAGCCAUGCCGCGUGCAGGAUGAAGGCCUUCGGGUUGUAAACUGCUUUUGUACGGAACGAAAAGGUUUGGCUUAAUACGUUGAACUCAUGACGGUACCGUAAGAAUAAGCACCGGCUAACUACGUGCCAGCAGCCGCAGUAA
Molecule: ribosomal RNA, 498 nt
Filed under: uncultured bacterium
Lineage: Bacteria
Description: partial 16S ribosomal RNA
Rfam family: Bacterial small subunit ribosomal RNA
Source: RNAcentral